This 212-nucleotide long non-coding RNA is filed under the name Nicotiana benthamiana. RNAcentral's name for it is "long non-coding RNA (NBEN_LNC012443)". Lineage: Eukaryota; Viridiplantae; Streptophyta; Magnoliopsida; Solanales; Solanaceae. The record is from RNAcentral.
AAAUGUUUUAUAAAUUCCCGUACCUUUUCUAGGUAUUGAUGCAUCCUUGUUUUCCUGGCUGUAUAAGUCCCCAGCAUUUGUUAACCACGAGUUGUGAAUCACUCUUGAUUAUAAUCUGAUAUAUGUCAAGUUCUCGUGUCAAUUCUAGACCUGCAAUCACUGCCUCAUACUCUGCAAUCGGAGGAUAUGGACCUUUUGUUCUCUGCCCUUCU